This 459-nucleotide ribosomal RNA is filed under the name uncultured bacterium. RNAcentral describes it as "partial 16S ribosomal RNA". It matches the Rfam family "Bacterial small subunit ribosomal RNA", at positions 338 to 795 of the family's 1533-position model. The record is from RNAcentral.
CCUACGGGAGGCAGCAGUGAGGAAUAUUGGUCAAUGGACGAGAGUCUGAACCAGCCAAGUAGCGUGAAGGAUGACUGCCCUAUGGGUUGUAAACUUCUUUUAUAUGGGAAUAAAAUGUUCCACGUGUGGAUUUUGUAUGUACCAUAUGAAUAAGGAUCGGCUAACUCCGUGCCAGCAGCCGCGGUAAUACGGGGGAUACGAGAGUUAUCCGGAUUUAUUUGGUUUAAAGGGAGCGUAGGUGGAUUGUUAAGUCAGUUGUGAAAGGUUGCGGCUCAAACGUAAAAUUGCAGUUGAAACUGGCAGUCUUGAGUACAGUAGAGGUGGGCGGAAUUCGUGGUGUAGCGGUGAAAUGCUUAGAUAUCACGAAGAACUCCGAUUGCGAAGGCAGUUCACUGGACUGCAACUGACACUGAGGCUCGAAAGUGUGGGUAUCAAACAGGAUUAGAUACCCGAGUAGUC